GACGAACGCUGGCGGCGUGCCUAACACAUGCAAGUCGAACGGGACGUUCGGGUCUAGGGGCGGACGGGUGCUUAACGCGUGGGAACCUACCCUUAGGUUCGGAAUAACUCCCCGAGGGAGAUCCUAAGACCGGUUAGUCUCAUCGGACUAAAGAUUUAUCGCCUUUGGAUGGGCCCGCGUUGGAUUAGCUAGUUGGUAGGGUAAAAGCCGACCAAGGCGACGAUCCAUAGCUGGUCUGUGAGGAUGAUCAGCCACACUGGGACUGAGACACGGCCCAGACUCGUACGGGAAGCAGCAGUGGGGAAAAUUGGACAAGGGGCGAAAGCCUGAUCCAGCACUGCCGCGUGAGUGAUGAAGGGCUUAGGGUUGUAAAGCUCUUUUACCCGGGAUGAUAAUGACAGUACCGGGAGAAUAAGCUCCGGCUAACUCCGU
RNAcentral lists this ribosomal RNA (432 nucleotides) under uncultured bacterium. RNAcentral's name for it is "partial 16S ribosomal RNA". It matches the Rfam family "Bacterial small subunit ribosomal RNA", at positions 28 to 506 of the family's 1533-position model. The record is from RNAcentral.